UGGGGGGUGGUCCAACUGGCAGCGACGCCGGGUUUUGGUCCCGGAAAUCGGGGUUCGAGUCCCUGCCCCCCAG
RNAcentral lists this transfer RNA (73 nucleotides) under Solirubrobacterales bacterium. RNAcentral describes it as "tRNA-Gln". It matches the Rfam family "tRNA". Rfam says of the family: Transfer RNA (tRNA) molecules are approximately 80 nucleotides in length. Their secondary structure includes four short double-helical elements and three loops (D, anti-codon, and T loops). Further hydrogen bonds mediate the characteristic L-shaped molecular structure. tRNAs have two regions of fundamental functional importance: the anti-codon, which is responsible for specific mRNA codon recognition, and the 3' end, to which the tRNAs corresponding amino acid is attached (by aminoacyl-tRNA synthetases). tRNAs cope with the degeneracy of the genetic code in two manners: having more than one tRNA (with a specific anti-codon) for a particular amino acid; and 'wobble' base-pairing, i.e. permitting non-standard base-pairing at the 3rd anti-codon position. The record is from RNAcentral. Lineage: Bacteria; Bacillati; Actinomycetota; Thermoleophilia; Solirubrobacterales. RNAcentral also lists the same sequence under 1 other name.